UCUGUAUUCCACAAGACAUAGACAAGCGUCUGUAUUGCUAAAGACAUUUAAAAGUUAGUCUAAAUUCUAUUGUAAAAAAAUAUUCACAAUAUGGAGCACUGUUUGCAUAAUUGAUUAGGUUCCAUUUUAAUUCUCAAAUGAGCUCUUGCUAGAUCUACCUAAGACCUGGUGUUCCAGAGAGAGGACAGAGCUAUACUGUGUCUGAUCAAUGCUUUACACUUCCAGUCAAAUCUGGAGAGCAACAUUUUAUUUUGUGAUACAUAACAACAUCUGAAGAGAGAGCUAUCUCUCCUUAUUGAAAUAAGUUCUGGUGCACAACAAAACAGAGAGAGAGAGAGAGAGAGAGAGAGAGA
This is a non-coding RNA of Biomphalaria pfeifferi, 353 nucleotides long. The record is from the annotation of a GenBank genome assembly. NCBI's taxonomy places the organism in Eukaryota, Metazoa, Mollusca, Gastropoda, Planorbidae.